Molecule: long non-coding RNA, 377 nt
Filed under: Manihot esculenta (cassava)
Lineage: Eukaryota; Viridiplantae; Streptophyta; Magnoliopsida; Malpighiales; Euphorbiaceae
Description: long non-coding RNA (MESC_LNC006871)
Source: RNAcentral
CGAGAGACCAAGGAGGCCCACAGAGUUAGAGUUACAGAGACUGCUCAGCAGUUGACAGAGGUGAGUGGAACAGAACUUUAUUUUAAAAGUUAAGACCUGUUUUAGCAUGAUUCAUGCAUCAUUAAUGCCAUGUUUAUGUAGGAUGCUUUGCAUUAGUAUUCACCAAGUUGAUGCAUUUCAUUAUUACUUGUAUAUGUGGAUUGGACCGAGGCGAUCUCAAUAGCCCAUAAGUCUGUCAUUAUUGUAUGUCCUGUGUGAGCUCCUUUGGGGGCCGGGCAUUUACCUUGGAUGAGUCCUGUGAGAGCCCUUAUAGGGUCGGGCACCAUGAGUAGUUAGUGAAAGACCUGUGUGAGCUCCUUUGGGGGCCGGGCACUGAC